Bos taurus (domestic cattle) is the source of this 786-nucleotide long non-coding RNA. NCBI's taxonomy places the organism in Eukaryota, Metazoa, Chordata, Mammalia, Artiodactyla, Bovidae. The record is from Ensembl.
GAGCAGGCUCUGAAUGGAAAUUUUUGGGUUUUAUUUUUGGUUUUGUUUUGUUUUUUUAAGAGACAGAAGGGAGAGAUGUGCUGUAGUUGUUGCUUUUCUGUCUGGAGUGCCCACCUCUGAAUUCCUAUUGGUGGGUUAAGUCAGGGUCUCUUUCACCAUCGAUGUCAAGUUCAGUUCCCACAGACUGAGCACCUCCCACAAGGUCCGUGCUCCUGCGAGUCCUCAUUUGUAGGGACCACUCUCCCUAUUGUACAGAGGGAGAAACUGAGAAACCGCAACUCCUCCAGGAUCCAAGAGCUGGCCUUCGGUGAGCUCCCGCUUUGGAGAGGUUUCUGUGUUUGUUUCUUGGCCCUAGUCAGUAUUUGUAUUUCCCACAUGGUCUUUAUUCUCCUGGAUUACAGAAAACUUGGAAGUGGAAAAGAAGAGGCUUCAUAGAUAUCUUUGAGAACAAGUGCGGGACACAGUGUGAGCGGAGGAGGCCAGUCAAAGACAGGCCACUGUGUGCCUCCGCCGGCCGGCAUCCUGCCGCUUCACCUCCACUGUGUGCACCCAGUUCAAGCCCAGCACAGGCAAACGCCCCUCCACGUGAAGACGCACACGGGCAGAGCUAGCAAACAGCCACGAGCUCUGGCGCCAGGGAGCGAGGACUUCUGAGCUGGUCGCCUUCCUUCUUGCAAUCUCAUGAGGGCCCCACAGCAAAUAACCGUGCUUCCUUGUGUUUACGGGCUUCCCUGGUGACUCAGUGGAGGUCACCUGGUUCAUUGUCUGCUCCAAGAAUCUUCAUAG